Molecule: ribosomal RNA, 398 nt
Filed under: uncultured bacterium
Lineage: Bacteria
Description: bacterial SSU rRNA
Rfam family: Bacterial small subunit ribosomal RNA
Source: RNAcentral
UUAACACAUGCAAGUCGAGUGCGCGCUUGUAGCAAUACAAGUGGCGCACGGCGCACGGGUGCGUAACACGUGGGUAACCUGCCCUUUGGUGGGGAAUAACCUCGCGAAAGCGAGGCUAAUUCCGCAUAAGAUCCGCAAGGAUGAAAGCCGCAAGGCGCCGAAGGAGGGGCCCGCGCACGAUUAGUUAGUUGGUAGGGUAACGGCCUACCCAAGACUAUGAUCGUCAGCUGGUCUGAGAGGAUGGCCAGCCACACUGGAACUGAGACACGGUCCAGACUCCUACGGGAGGCAGCAGUGGGGAAUCUUGCGCCAAUGGGCGAAAGCCUGACGCAGCGACGCCGCGUGGGGGAUGAAGCUUCUCGGAGUGUUAAACCCCUUUCGACUGGGACGAAUACCUC